RNAcentral lists this ribosomal RNA (243 nucleotides) under uncultured bacterium. RNAcentral's name for it is "partial 16S ribosomal RNA". It matches the Rfam family "Bacterial small subunit ribosomal RNA", at positions 1258 to 1500 of the family's 1533-position model. The record is from RNAcentral.
CGAAGGCAAGCAAAGCCCAAAAAAGGNGUCCCAGUUCGGAUUGCAGCCUGCAACUCGGCUGCAUGAAGCUGGAAUCGCUAGUAAUCGCAGAUCAGAAUGCUGCGGUGAAUACGUUCCCGGGUCUUGUACACACCGCCCGUCACACCAUGGGAGUUGGGAAUGCCCGAAGUCAGUGACCCAACCGCAAGGAGGGAGCUGCCGAAGGCAGGCUUGAUAACUGGGGUGAAGUCGUAACAAGGUAAC